This 99-nucleotide transfer RNA is filed under the name Myxococcus llanfairpwllgwyngyllgogerychwyrndrobwllllantysiliogogogochensis. RNAcentral's name for it is "Myxococcus sp. AM401 tRNA-Sec". It matches the Rfam family "Selenocysteine transfer RNA". Lineage: Bacteria; Pseudomonadati; Myxococcota; Myxococcia; Myxococcales; Myxococcaceae. The record is from RNAcentral. RNAcentral also lists the same sequence under 2 other names.
GGUAGGGCCUCCGGACCUGGUGGCCGGCCUGGGCUUCAAACCCAGUGAGAGGCGUUGAGAGACGUCUCUGGCGAGUUCGAUUCUCGUGCUCUACCGCCA